This 64-nucleotide transfer RNA is filed under the name Stylochoplana maculata. RNAcentral describes it as "tRNA-His". Lineage: Eukaryota; Metazoa; Platyhelminthes; Polycladida; Leptoplanidae. The record is from RNAcentral.
GAAUUAGUAGUUUAAAAAGAACGUUGUGUUGUGGCCGCAAAAGUAUACAUUUAUGUAUCAUUCU